CAGUAAUUGGCUCUAGGCUCUCAUUGCUGUCCUGUCACUUUUGACCAAAUGUUGUAGUGCUUGUUUGCAAGUAAAUCAAAUAAAUCCUAGCUGGGGAAAUAUGGAAGAUAUUCCAUAACGAAGAUUGGAUAAUUCACAUAUCAUCAGAACCAAAUCUCCAGAUUGCUCCCAGGAUCACAGAGGUCCCUGAUGCAGGAUACUGCCACCAAAGCCAUCACCUCUGCCUUUCUGGAAACAAUGUAGGGACUGCUACCUGUCACUGGCAUGGACUGCAAACAGCCACAAGCUGCACUUAGGCAGGAGUGCAGUAGCAGCUGGAAGCAGUGGCCCUUAGCUGUGCAUCUGCCUUCUACAGUUGGGGUAGACUCAAUCUCACAGUGUAUAGAGAAUGAAUAGGGUUAAGAUCAACCAUCUGAACAAAUGUUAUUCCAGCCAGGAGUCUAGUUUUUGUUCCUUUGUCCAGAAAAGAUGAGCCUGUGGCCUCUCUUUCCCAGGUGUCUGAUCUGGACAGCUCGGCCAUCAAAGUCACAUAGCAGUAGUGAAGGGAACACCUGGGCCUAUCACCCCUGGCUGGAGGCAGGACACUUGGAUGUUUGUUCUCGUUGGAAGUGCAGCUGCUGAGCUGCAGUUGUCAGGUCACCACUGGUGUCCAGGGACAGCCCCACCCUGCCCCACAACACAGUCUUGAGCUUCAAGGAGCUGUCACAAAUCAGUCCAUCAAAGUCUGGGGGAGCUGCUGAUGGGCCAUACAUUCUUCGUGACCACAAACCCAGCCCCAUUAGGCUUUCUGGACCAUGAGUGACAGCCCAUCUGGAACAAGAUGCAAAUGAUUGUCACAUCGUUCCUUCUAAGCCCCUAGCCAGCUGGGGGAUUUAAAAAUAAAGAAUUGGAACCGAA
Molecule: long non-coding RNA, 897 nt
Filed under: Rattus norvegicus (Norway rat)
Lineage: Eukaryota; Metazoa; Chordata; Mammalia; Rodentia; Muridae
Description: long non-coding RNA NONRATT030963
Source: RNAcentral